This is a non-coding RNA of Dictyocaulus viviparus (bovine lungworm), 72 nucleotides long. Lineage: Eukaryota; Metazoa; Nematoda; Chromadorea; Rhabditida; Metastrongylidae. The record is from Rfam.
GCCUCGGUGGUGUAAUGGCAAGCACGGCAGACCGGAUAUCUGUAAGUGCGGGUACGAGUCCCGCCUGAGGUU